AUCGUCAUCAUCGUCACAUGUU
Molecule: unclassified non-coding RNA, 22 nt
Filed under: Dictyostelium discoideum
Lineage: Eukaryota; Evosea; Eumycetozoa; Dictyosteliales; Dictyosteliaceae
Source: RNAcentral